RNAcentral lists this ribosomal RNA (261 nucleotides) under uncultured archaeon. RNAcentral's name for it is "partial 16S ribosomal RNA". It matches the Rfam family "Archaeal small subunit ribosomal RNA", at positions 748 to 1008 of the family's 1478-position model. The record is from RNAcentral.
CAGCCGUAAACAAUGUGCGUUAGGUGUGUCGGUAACCACGCGUUACUGAUGCGCCGAAGAGAAAUCGUGAAACGCACCACCUGGGAAGUACGGUCGCAAGGCUGAAACUUAAAGGAAUUGGCGGGGGAGCACCACAACAGGUGGAGCCUGCGGUUUAAUUGGAUUCAACGCCGGACAUCUCACCGGAUAAGACAGCUGAAUGAUUGUCAAUCUGAAGGUUUUACAUGACUAGCCGAGAGGAGGUGCAUGGCGUCAGUGACU